Molecule: RNA transcript, 1194 nt
Organism: Anastrepha ludens (Mexican fruit fly)
Lineage: Eukaryota; Metazoa; Arthropoda; Insecta; Diptera; Tephritidae
Gene: Dhrs4
Gene name: dehydrogenase/reductase SDR family member 4
Exons: 6
Source: RefSeq, a predicted model, not a curated record
CAAGUACGUGUGUCACCCAACAAGCAAACAUAUAAGCUGCUGGACAGCAAAUGCAUGAGUGUGUCGCCGUAGCUAUAAUGAGUUUUCUCUUUGCCGGCUUUACUAAUUCAAUCGAUUUUCCUCUUUAUCUUUAAAAAUCCGUUGUAUCAUAUUGAUUUCGGUUUCAAUUAGUAGGGCAGAUAAUGUUAUUUAUUAGAAAGCAACUAGCAAUGAGAGCAAAAGCUUCUUUUGCUGUAUGUACUGGAACGGACAGAUCUGAAGUUGUUUUUAAUCACUGUCACAAACGUUUAUCAAGUAGAAGUGUUCACGGGACAGCAGGUAAAAAUAUGAAACGAUUGGAAGGUAAAGUUGCGGUUGUAACUGCUUCCACAGAGGGCAUUGGAUUCUCGAUUGCCAAACGUCUUGCAGAAGAAGGUGCGUCUGUGGUUAUCAGCAGUCGUAAAGAGCGAAAUGUUGAUAGUGCCGUUGAGCGUUUACGUAAGUUAAAUCUGAAUGUUAUUGGCCUAAAAUGCCAUGUCGGAGAAUCACAAGAUCGCAAACAGCUCUUCGAGGAAACAAUUCGCAAUUAUGGGAAGCUAAAUAUUUUAGUUUCCAAUGCUGCCACGAAUCCAGCAGUGGGUGGGGUAUUGGAGUGUGAUGAAGGUGUUUGGGAUAAAAUAUUUGAUGUAAAUGUUAAGUCGUCUUAUUUACUUGCGAAAGAGGCUUUACCGUACUUGCGAGAAGAGAAAGGUUCAAGUAUAGUAUUCGUGUCUUCCAUCGCUGGCUAUGAUGCAUUUGAGUUACUAGGUGCAUAUUCUGUUAGUAAGACGGCUUUGAUUGGAUUAACUAAAGCCGCGGCCAAAGAUUUGGCACCUGUUGGUAUACGAGUAAACUGUUUAGCACCUGGGAUUAUCAAAACUAAAUUUUCGAAAGCGCUUUAUGAAAGCGAGGCGGCAAACGAAGCUGCACUUUCAAAAAUACCUAUAGGACGCCUAGGUUCACCAGAGGAAAUGGCUGGUAUUGUAACAUUUCUAGUCUCUGAUGAUGCAUCUUAUAUAACUGGCGAAACCAUUGUCGCAUCUGGAGGUAUGUCAGGUCGACUGUAAUUUAAAUACGGAACUAUGAACAGCGAGCCCUAUUAUAAUUGGUAUCUAAUUUGAAAAUAUAUUCUAUAUAAUAUAUUGACAACCUGGGUAACUGCUGCCCAAACCGUGA